GACGAACGCUGGCGGCGUGCUUAACACAUGCAAGUCGAACGGAAAGGCCCUGCUUUUGUGGGGUGCUCGAGUGGCGAACGGGUGAGCAACACGUGAGUAACCUGCCCUUGACUUUGGGAUAACUUCAGGAAACUGGGGCUAAUACCGGAUAGGAGCUCCUGCUGCAUGGUGGGGGUUGGAAAGUUUCGGCGGUUGGGGAUGGACUCGCGGCUUAUCAGCUUGUUGGUGGGGUAGUGGCUUACCAAGGCUUUGACGGGUAGCCGGCCUGAGAGGGUGACCGGCCACAUUGGGACUGAGAUACGGCCCAGACUCCUACGGGAGGCAGCAGUGGGGAAUAUUGCACAAUGGGCGGAAGCCUGAUGCGGCAACGCCGCGUGCGGGAUGACGGCCUUCGGGUUGUAAACCGCUUUCGCCUGUGACGAAGCGUGAGUGACGGUAAUGGGUAAAGAAGCACCGGCUAACUACGUGCCAGCAGCCGCGGUGAUACGUAGGGUGCGAGCGUUGUCCGGAUUUAUUGGGCGUAAAGGGCUCGUAGGUGGUUGAUCGCGUCGGAAGUGUAAUCUUGGGGCUUAACCCUGAGCGUGCUUUCGAUACGGGUUGACUUGAGGAAGGUAGGGGAGAAUGGAAUUCCUGGUGGAGCGGUGGAAUGCGCAGAUAUCAGGAGGAACACCAGUGGCGAAGGCGGUUCUCUGGGCCUUUCCUGACGCUGAGGAGCGAAAGCGUGGGGAGCGAACAGGCUUAGAUACCCUGGUAGUCCACGCUGUAAACGGUGGGUACUAGGUGUGGGGUCCAUUCCACGGGUUCCGUGCCGUAGCUAACGCUUUAAGUACCCCGCCUGGGGAGUACGGCCGCAAGGCUAAAACUCAAAGGAAUUGACGGGGCCCCGCACAAGCGGCGGAGCAUGCGGAUUAAUUCGAUGCAACGCGUAGAACCUUACCUGGGUUUGACAUGGAUCGGGAGCGCUCAGAGAUGGGUGUGCCUCUUUUGGGGUCGGUUCACAGGUGGUGCAUGGCUGUCGUCAGCUCGUGUCGUGAGAUGUUGGGUUAAGUCCCGCAACGAGCGCAACCCUUGUUCACUGUUGCCAGCACGUUAUGGUGGGGACUCAGUGGAGACCGCCGGGGUCAACUCGGAGGAAGGUGGGGACGACGUCAAGUCAUCAUGCCCCUUAUGUCCAGGGCUUCACGCAUGCUACAAUGGCUGGUACAGAGAGUGGCGAGCCUGUGAGGGUGAGCGAAUCUCGGAAAGCCGGUCUCAGUUCGGAUUGGGGUCUGCAACUCGACCUCAUGAAGACGGAGUCGCUAGUAAUCGCAGAUCAGCAACGCUGCGGUGAAUACGUUCCCGGGGCU
RNAcentral lists this ribosomal RNA (1346 nucleotides) under uncultured bacterium. Its description in RNAcentral is "bacterial SSU rRNA". It matches the Rfam family "Bacterial small subunit ribosomal RNA", at positions 28 to 1381 of the family's 1533-position model. The record is from RNAcentral.